GCCGGAUGGUUUUGGGCUGGGGAGGAGGAUCGAGGGGCUUUUAGCAGGUCGUUACAGCAGAAAUAUGGAGAAGGUACUUGACAGUGGUUUUGGUGGAAGCCUCUCCCUCCUCCUGUGCCCAGGGAGGUUGAUCCCUUCAGGGAACUGAAUCACGUCCCCCCAGCGCCGUGGGAGUGUCACAGAGCGUCUGAAGCUCGUCAGGAGAGUCAGGCCAGGCCGCGCGGGGCCGUUCUGGGAAGCCGUCCAGCCAUCCGCUGCAGAGAGGAGUCUGCCUAAAAAUGCCUCUGCUGGCUCCUCUCCACACUCCGACCGUCCCAUAUGGAACAAAUGUACAUUUUCCAUCAAUUGUUUGUAUUUUGCAUUUAAAGUAAGAAGGGGGAGGGAAAAAAAAAAAGCCAGCAAGCAAGCGGGCUACACAUAGAGGCGAAGCGUCGGUGACAGCAGAUAGGCCCCAUCGCAGAGAGGGAGAAACACUGGCCGGCGUUCAAGAGACUCAAACGUAUGGUAUGAAACAAUAAAUUUUAAGUGUGUUUUGACAUA
Molecule: long non-coding RNA, 540 nt
Organism: Oenanthe melanoleuca
Lineage: Eukaryota; Metazoa; Chordata; Aves; Passeriformes; Muscicapidae
Exons: 2
Source: RefSeq, a predicted model, not a curated record